AUUGAACGCUGGCGGCAUGCCUUACACAUGCAAGUCGAACGGUAACAGGGAGCUUGCUCCGCUGACGAGUGGCGAACGGGUGAGUAAUGUAUCGGAACGUACCUUUUAGUGGGGGAUAACGUAGCGAAAGUUACGCUAAUACCGCAUAUUCUCUGAGGAGGAAAGCAGGGGACCUUCGGGCCUUGCGCUAAUAGAGCGGCUGAUAUCAGAUUAGCUAGUUGGUGAGGCAAAGGCUCACCAAGGCGACGAUCUGUAGCGGGUCUGAGAGGAUGAUCCGCCACACUGGAACUGAGACACGGCCCAGACUCCUACGGGAGGCAGCAGUGGGGAAUUUUGGACAAUGGGGGCAACCCUGAUCCAGCCAUGCCGCGUGAGUGAAGAAGGCCUUCGGGUUGUAAAGCUCUUUCGGCCGGGAAAAAAUCGCAUGGGCUAAUACCCUGUGUGGAUGAUGGUACCGGAAUAAGAAGCACCGGCUAACUACGUGCCAGCGCCGCCGUAA
RNAcentral lists this ribosomal RNA (499 nucleotides) under uncultured bacterium. Its description in RNAcentral is "partial 16S ribosomal RNA". It matches the Rfam family "Bacterial small subunit ribosomal RNA", at positions 30 to 523 of the family's 1533-position model. The record is from RNAcentral.